This 1033-nucleotide small RNA is filed under the name Pan troglodytes (chimpanzee). RNAcentral's name for it is "retained intron". Lineage: Eukaryota; Metazoa; Chordata; Mammalia; Primates; Hominidae. The record is from RNAcentral.
CUGAGGCGCGGCGGCCCCGCGGAGCAGCGCAGUAUGGCGGGCGGGGCCCGGGAGGUGCUGACACUGCAGUUGGGACAUUUUGCCGGUUUCGUGGGCGCGCACUGGUGGAACCAGCAGGAUGCUGCGCUGGGCCGAGCGACCGAUUCCAAGGAGCCCCCGGGAGAGCUGUGCCCCGACGUCCUGUAUCGUACGGGCCGGACGCUGCACGGCCAGGAGACCUACACGCCGCGACUCAUCCUCAUGGAUCUGAAGGGUAGUUUGAGCUCCCUAAAAGAGGAAGGUGGACUCUACAGGGACAAACAGUUGGAUGCUGCAAUAGCAUGGCAGGGGAAACUCACCACACACAAAGAGGAACUCUAUCCCAAGAACCCUUAUCUCCAAGACUUUCUGAGUGCAGAGGGAGUGCUGAGUAGUGAUGGUGUUUGGAGGGUCAAAUCCAUUCCCAAUGGCAAAGGUUCCUCACCACUCACCACCGCUACAACUCCAAAACCACUUAUCCCUACAGAGGCCAGCAUCAGGGUCUGGUCAGACUUCCUCAGAGUCCAUCUCCAUCCCCGGAGCAUCUGUAUGAUUCAGAAGUACAACCACGAUGGGUAUGGGGACCCCAGAGGCUUUGAGGGAAGCAGGUCGGCUGGAGGCUUUUGGCCAAGGGGAAAGUGUCCUAAAGGAACCCAAGUACCAGGAAGAGCUGGAGGACAGGCUGCACUUCUACGUGGAGGAAUGUGACUACUUGCAGGGCUUCCAGAUCCUGUGUGACCUGCACGAUGGCUUCUCUGGGGUAGGCGCGAAGGCGGCAGAGCUGCUACAAGAUGAAUAUUCAGGGCGGGGAAUAAUAACUUGGGGCCUGCUACCUGGUCCCUACCAUCGUGGGGUGAGUGGAACUUAGAGAAGUAAACAGUCACACGGUGGGGAGGGAGAAAUGAGAAUCCCAGUGGGAGAGUUGCUUAAUACAAACUACUCUUUCUUCACCAGGAGGCCCAGAGAAACAUCUAUCGUCUAUUAAACACAGCUUUUGGUCUCGUGCACCUGACUG